UAAUAUUGAAAGCUCCGGCGGAUAGAGAUGGGCACGCGCAAGAUUAGCNAGUUGGUGAGGUAACGGCUCACCAAGGCAAUGAUCUUUAGGGGGCCUGAGAGGGUGAUCCCCCACACUGGUACUGAGACACGGACCAGACUCCUACGGGAGGCAGCAGUGAGGAAUAUUGGUCAAUGGGUGCAAGCCUGAACCAGCCAUCCCGCGUGAAGGACGACUGCCCUAUGGGUUGUAAACUUCUUUUGUAUAGGGAUAAACCUUUCCACGUGUGGAAAGCUGAAGGUACUAUACGAAUAAGCACCGGCUAACUCCG
This 310-nucleotide ribosomal RNA is filed under the name CFB group bacterium 22(2010). Its description in RNAcentral is "bacterial SSU rRNA". It matches the Rfam family "Bacterial small subunit ribosomal RNA", at positions 195 to 505 of the family's 1533-position model. The record is from RNAcentral. Lineage: Bacteria; Pseudomonadati; Bacteroidota.